Non-coding RNA from Oryza nivara, 208 nucleotides. The record is from Rfam. NCBI's taxonomy places the organism in Eukaryota, Viridiplantae, Streptophyta, Magnoliopsida, Poales, Poaceae.
AAAAAGACAAAACCUGGUUUCCGUGUUAAACGUUUGACCGUCCGUUUUAUUUGAAAAAAAUUAUGAAAAAAAAUUUAAAAAGACAAGUCACGCAUAAAAUAUUAAUCAUGUUUUAUCAUCCAACAACAAUAAAAAUACGAAUUAUAAAAAAAAUUUAUAUAAGAUGGACAAUUAAAGUUGGACACGGAAAUAUAAGGUUUGCCUUUUU